AAAAAGAGGAAGGGGAAUGUCAGUUUGGGCAGGCACUGGGGUCAAGCGGUUUAAACGAAAUACAAGAGGCUAAUUAGUUAAUAAACUCUAUGUCAUAGCCUGUGCAUUUGCGCCGAAGCAAUGUGUGGGUUGGCCAAUCCCUUGAUUCCAUACCCUCUUCUCACUUCACUGAUGUAGUAAUACCCUCAGGACUCAAGAGAAUCAUUGCACCAGAACAGUAAGUGUAUAUAAAGAAUGCUGUUCUACUAUAUGCUGUUCUACUAUCUGUUGAGAUGUUUCCACAUGUGACCCAAGAGAAUAAAGAGAACAUCUCUCUCCUCGAGACUAAAAUGUAUGGCAAUGCAUUCUUAAACACGUAAAAACAUUCUUGUGUAUACCUAUCCCUAACACUUUAGAGUAAUGAAAUGAUUCAAAAAUGUCACUUUAUAACCUAUAUGUUAGUAAUAUAAAAUAUAAGUGUAAAAUUAGAAUAUUCUCUACUGCCUAUUACUCAUACUGUCAAACUGUCAAAAUAAUAUACUUAUAUUUCCUCAGUAAAUACAUAAAUGCUGAUUUAUACUAUAUCUUAUAACCCUUAUGCUUUCUUCCUGCCUCCCUGGUUUUCUGCUGUUUUUAUAAGAAUGAAGAUAGAGACAUACAUGCAAUAGAAAUAGAGAAACUAGCUUAUUUUUUGCUCUUUUAUUCUGAUCCAAAUGUUAAUCAUUUAGAAACUCAAGUGGAUGGACAGAGGUAGAGAUAAGGUUAGCCAUUCUUAGAUUAUCUUUGUAGGAGGAGUAGCAAGAGAAGACUUGUGAUUUCUUCAUUAAUCCAUUUAUUCAUUCAUUCAAAAUUUGUUUUUGUGUCUAUUUUAUAAAAGGCCUAGACUACCUGACAAAAGAAAUGGAUAUGGUUCCUCUCCUCUAAAUGCCUAAACUGUUGUAAAUGGCAAGAUCUUGUUCUUUUUUGUGGCUGAGUAAUACCCCAUUAUAUAUGUACACCACAGCAUUUUUAUCUAUUUUUAGAUAAAGGGACACCUGGACUGCUUCCAUUUCUUGGCUAUUGUAAAUAAUGCUGCAAUAAAAAUAGGGGUGCAUGUAUUUUUGAAAUUAAUGUGUUCAUUGUCUUUGAGUUAAUGCCCAAUAGCGGAAUUACCAGAUCUCAUGGUGGUUCUCUUUUUUAAUUUUUUGAGGAAACUCCAUACUGCUUUCCACAGUGGCUGCACCAAUCUACAUUCCCACCAACAGUGCAGAAGGUUCCUUUUUCUUCAUAUCCUUACCCACACUUGUUAUUUUUUUUUUUAUACUAGCCAUUCUGACCGGGGUAAGGUGAUAUCUCCUUGUGGUUUUGAUUUGCACUUCCCUGAUGAUUACUGAUAUUGAGCAUCUUUUCAUGUGUCUAUUGGCCAUCUCUAUGUCUUCUUUGGAAAAAUGUAUGGAUAGACCUUGAGGGUAUUAUACUAAGUGAAAUUAAGUUAGACAGAGAACAACAAAUACCAUAUGAUUUCACUUACAUGUGGAAUUGAAAAAAACAAAACAAAGCAGAAAGAGACCCAUUAACACAUAGAAUAAACUGGUGGUUUCUGGAUGGGAUGGGGUGGGGGAUGGGCAAAAUGGGUGAAGGGGAGUGGGGACAUAAUCUUCCACUUAUGGAAUAUAUACAUUACAGGGAUGAAAGGUACACCACAAGGAAUAUAGCCAAUGGUAUUGUACUAGCACUGUAUGGUAAGAGAUGAUGGCUACUACACUCACAGAGAGCAUAGCAUAACGCAUAGAGUUGUCCAAUCACUAUGCUUCGCACCUAAAACUAAUGUAACAUUGUAUGUCACCUAUACUUCAAUAAAAGAAACUGUAAAAAAGGCUAAAAAUGUAAGACAUUUUUAAAUAAAGGAACACAAAGUGUAUCAUUACAAGUUGUGUUAAAUGCUGUGAAGGAAAAGUUCAAGUGCUCUGAUAGAAACUAUGGGGGAGACUAGUUGAGAUUGAUGGGCUCAGAGAAAGCUGUUCUAAGCCAAAGAUACAGAUGGAAACUCUUUAUAAAGUUAAAAAACAACAACAACACAUAAUUCUAUUUUCUCACAUCUUUGGGUAAUUGAGUUAAGGAAGUUCUUUGCUUACCUGGAUUUUUGUGAUAACUUCCUAACUGGCCCCGUGCUUCUACUGCAGUCUCUUCUUCAUGCAUAGCCCAAGAGUUCCAUUAGAAAUGUAAGGCAAAAAAAAAGGAAGGCAGAGGGUGUUACUCCUCUGCUCAUAACACUGCUAUAAAGAUGCCUUCAAAACUGGUAACAGUAGUUUCUGAGAAUGGAAACUGGAAGCCUGGGGCACAGGGAUGAGAGGAAGGCUUGCAUUUACUGUAUACUCUUUUGUACCUUUUGAAUUUUUCUGUCAUAUUCAUGCAUUGCAAAUUUGACUAAAUAGGUGGAGUGUACAAUUUUUCAUUUAAAUCUGGACACAGGGGGAUCCCUGGCGGUUUAGCGCCUGCCUUCAGCCCACGGUGUGAUCCUGGAGUCCCGGGAUUGAGUCCCACGUUGGGCUCCCUGUAUGGAGCCUGCUUCUUCCUCUGCCUGUGUCUCUGCCUCUCCCUCUCUCCCUCUCUGUGUCUCUCAUGAAUAAAUAAAUAAAAUAUUUAAAAUAAAAUAAAUAAAAUAAACCUGGACACUUUUGAGAAUGACAGGUGAUAAUAUUAAUAGUCACCAUGAGGCAAUGACAUAAAAGGGAGCUGUCCAGGUCAACAAGGAUUACCAAACCUUGACUCUCGCUCCUUACUCCUGUUACCCUAAUAUUCUAGGCACAUUCGUAUACUUAUAUACACAUAGAGCACACCAGCAGGUCUGCUCCCAUCUCAGGAUCUUUGCACCUGAUCUUCUCUAAGCUUGGAUCAUUCUUCUUCUUGAGCUCCAAAUCCAUUGCUUGCUCACUUCCUUCAUGUUUUCCCCAAGUAUCGCCUUCUCUGACCACUCUUUUUAUAAGUACAAUCCACUCUAACCCUCUUUUUUUUGAUUCUGAGAGCUUCACACUAUGCUAAGUUUGCCACAGGCUGAUUAAUCAAAUUACACUUUUUAGUGUAUCAGUUACAACUUCAACUACAUUGUAAGUUCCUAGAUGACCAAGAUAUGGCUUUUUCACUUUUCAAUUUCCCACAGAUCUCAACAUAGCCAAUACUUAGUAAACAGUUACAAUGAAUUGAGCAAAUGACACAAUUUCAAAAAGCAUUAUGUAUGUUUAUUGUUUAUUGUUGAACUCUCUCCAUUAAAAUAGAUGUUUCACAAGUGCAUUUUGGUCUGUUUUGUUCACUGCUGAAUCCCAAGCAUCCAGAUACACCUAGCACAUAGCAGGUGCUCAUUAAGUACUUGUUAAUGAAUAUUGGGUGUCACUGUCAUCCAAAUCAGUAGACUGAGGUCUAUGUUCUGGGGUAGGGUCCAGAAGCUUUGUCUGAGUACAGAAGUAGAAGAGACUGGCUCAAAAAUGUGGGGAAUGGAAUCAGGGAGGCUCAGAAAUAUAGAUAUGGAAACAGAGAGAGAGAGAGCCAAAAACUACAAUAGAAUAUCCAAAUAUCCAAAUAGGCAUCAUUUAAAGGACUCAGACAAAGACACCAAAAGAAGUGGACACGUAAGGCAUAAUUGGAGAUGAUGAGACACAACCAGUAGGUUAGACAGCAAGUAGGGGUAGUAGAGAGUUUUCUGGUGUUCUGAUUAUGUGCAGAAUCUAUUGGAAUGUGGGCUGGAUCAUCUAAAAUAAGGUAGUUCUUUCUUACACAGUAACUGCUGGGAUCUCUAGAAGAAUUUAGGGAACUGUAGUUAACCUGAGUAAUAAUGAGCUGAUCUAAUGAUUGAUGAUCGUCCAAAGGAAAGCAAAGUUCAAGGGAAUCGGGAAACAUUUUACUACAGUUGUUUUUACAUCCACAUCAUAGAGUCUGAAAUUUUCUGUGUGCUCUUUAAAGUAGCACUCGAGAAGUACAAAUAGCAUCCCUCAGAAUCUACUGGUUACAGGGUGAUGUCAGCAGGCCACAGAGAAAUGGACAGAACAAGCUCUUCUGUUCAUGUUGAAAUCCACCAUGCUUGCAUAUUAAAACAGCCCUUUAUUCUAGGGAUGAUAUUAUAGGGAGAUAAUGCUCUCUGAAUAUUCACCUUCUUAAAGGUUGUUAUGAUAAAGAUGUAACGGCAUGCUCUCCUGGGAAGAAGGACAUGCUCUGAAGAUGUACUAUUUUCUGAGUAUUUCUAUUAUACUAGGCUUAUUUAUUAUACAGCUGACCCCUAUUUAAUUGAGGGUUUGGGGAUAAAUUCCAAAAAUUCCACCCUUAUUUUGACAGAUACUUGAUAGUAUUUUAAUCAACUAAAUUGAUAUGUAAUUUACAUAAAAUAAGUUGAACCCGUGUUAAGUGUACAAUUUGAAGAGUUUUCACCAACGUGUACACCUGUGAAACCAGCACAGCAAUCAAGAUAGUGCAGAACAUUUCCAUUCAUACAAAAAUGUCCUUAAGUCCAUUUGUAGUCAAUCCUAUUCUCCACACCUAGCCUUUAGGUAGGCUACCACUGAUCUGCUUUCUAUCACUACACAUUAAUUUACAUUUUAUAAAAUUUUAUGUAAAUGGCACCAUACAGUGUGUACUCUUUUGUGUCUGGCUCAUUUCAUUCAGCAUAAUGCCUUUGAGAUUUAUACAUAUUAUUAUGUGCAUGACUAGGGUUUUUUUAUUGCUGAAGGGCAUUCCAUUGUAUGACUAUACCACAUUUUGUUUAUCCAUUCACCUGUUGAUGGACAUUUGGGUAAUUUCCAUUUUGCAGCUGUUAUGAACACAGCUGUAUGAACAUUCACGUACAGGUCUUUAUAUGGCCAUAGGAGUUCUUUUCUCUCAGGUAAAUAGCUAAAGAUGAAAAUGCUUGGUCUUAUGAUAGGUGUAUGUUUAACUUUAUAAGGAAAACCAAGCAGUUUCCCAAAGUAUUGUAAAUUUUUUUUUUUACUUUCACCUGUAAUAUACGAGAGUUCUAGUUGCUAGACAUCUUUGCCAAUGGUUGAUAGUGCCGACUCUUCAAUUUUAGUCCUUCUACCAGGUAUAUGGUGGUACCUUACUGUGGGUUUAAUCAGCAUCCCCUAAGAAGUAAGGAUGUUGAACAUCUUUUUAUAUGCUCAUUGGUCUAUUGUGUAGUGUCUGUUCAAAUCUCUUGUCCAUCUCUCUUCUCUUAAAAUUUAGUUGUAGAAGUUCUUUUCAGAUUUUGGAGAGACUUUGUUUUCAAAUAUCUAUAUGGAAAAUAUUUCCUCCCAGCAUAUGAUUUUUUUUCUAUUUUUUAAAAAUUGUAUCUUUCAAGGAAUAACUUUUUUUAAAUUUGGAUUAAUCGAAAACAUACCAUAUAACUGAUAUAUGAAUUUUUUCCUCCAUAGUUCAUACUUUUUGAGUUCUAAGACAUCUUCAUCUAUAGAAGGCAACAGAUUUUUUUUUGUUUUUCCCUAUAAGUUUUAUAAUGUUAAUUUUCACGUGUAGAUCUAUGAUCCAUUUUAAUUUUUAUCUUUGAUACGAUGUAAAAUCAAGGUUCAGGUUUUUAUAUGGAUAUCCAAAUACUCCAGUAUCAUUAUUGAAAAACUCUCCCAUUUAAUUAUCUUGAAUCAUCUGCCAAAAUUCAAUCAACCAUAUACAUGUUGUCUUCUAGAGUCCCUGUUGAGGGAUAUAAUCUAUGUUUUCACUAAUCCUACUACUGUAGAAAUUGCUCUAGCUUUGUAGUAAAUCUUGAAAACAGGUAGUAUAGGUUCUCCAACUUUGUUUUUUCUUUUUCCAUAUUCCUUUGGCUAUUCCAAGUUGUUUUCAUUUUUAUAUAAAUUUAGAAUUAGCUUAUAAAUUUUUCCCUCAAAAAGCCUCCUGAAAUUUUUAUUAGAGUUGUAUUUAAUAUAUAGUUCAAUUUGUAGAACUGACAUUUUAACUACUUUGAGUCUUCCAUCCAUAAACAUUUAUUUAGUUAUUCUUUAGUUUCAGUGAUGAAUUGUAGUUUUGAGUAAACAAGUAUUUUACAAUUUUUGUUAAAUUUAUAAAUUAAGUACACAAUGUUUUUGGAUGUUAUUGAAGUAGAAUAGUAUUUUUUAAUUUCAGUUUGCAACUUUUGUUGCUGUUAUAUAUAAAGACUUCUGUUUUUUGUAUACUGACUUCCUAUACUGCUAGCCUGACACGUUUACUUAUUCUAGUGGGUAUUUUGUGCAUAUGUAUUUCUUAGGAUUUUCCAAAUACAACAUCUACUUUUGAUCAAAACAUUUCAUCCUUCCCUAUUUUUCCUUUUUCCCUUUUAACUGCCUGAAAUCGUUAGGAUUUCCAGUAAACACUGAAUAUAAAUAGUGAGAAUAAAUGUCCUUUCCUUGUUCUCAAACUUAGGGGGAAACAUUGUCUUUCACCACAGAAUAUGAUAUCCAUAGAAAGUGUUUCGUGUGGACCCUUUACCACAAAAGGAAGUCUUCUAUUCAUUGU
RNAcentral lists this long non-coding RNA (6420 nucleotides) under Canis lupus familiaris (dog). RNAcentral describes it as "lncRNA (ENSCAFG00845001071.1)". Lineage: Eukaryota; Metazoa; Chordata; Mammalia; Carnivora; Canidae. The record is from RNAcentral.